CCCAAUACCUUUAACUAGCCCACUACUAAGUCUUAGCCCAAUAAACAAACCCAACAAAUCAACAAUAUUUCAUACUAAAAUAAAAUAAACAAGCCCAAAACCCUUACAUAUUCUCUCCCGCUCUCUAUCAUCCCUGCACGCACGCCAGCGAUCAGAACAUCAACGACAACAGCAGCCGCAUACCGCCGUAAUCAGCCAUCAUACCACCGCCGAUCGAACACGGGUAAUUUUCUUUGUUAUUUUUGAUGAUUUUUGGUUGAUUUUUUGGUGGGGUGGGACGGAACCGGUAGCCACCGGAAGUGAUUUUUUGAUAGCAGGAGACAUGUGCUUCUUGUUAGUGAUGAUAUUUUAUUUUGUGGUGGGUUAUAUAUUUAUAUUUUGUUAGUGAUGAUGGUGAUAUUUUGUCUUUUAAUGGUGUAUAUGAUUGUUUGAAUACUUGAUACAUUAUGUAACAUGUUAUGGAGCCAUGAACUUAUAGAUCAAUUUGUUUGUGAUCGCUGAUAGGAACCAUGAGUAGGGACGUUAUGGCGCGAUUUCUCAAGAGGAAAGUUGAUACAUCUUCCGAAUUCGUGAUGUGGAUACUCUUCCUUCGGAUGCUUAUAAUCGCAAGCCGAUUGAAUCAUAUAACGUGAAUCAACGAGAUGAGAUUAGAAGGGCAUAUCUACUAAGAGGACCAUAUCAACCAUUUAGUUUGAUGUUCUUUUGUUUUACAUGACCCGACCCGACCCGACUCGAACCGACCCGACACGAAC
This 752-nucleotide long non-coding RNA is filed under the name Helianthus annuus (common sunflower). The record is from RNAcentral. Lineage: Eukaryota; Viridiplantae; Streptophyta; Magnoliopsida; Asterales; Asteraceae.